GAAGGCAUCUAUCAAUAUUAUUUGAAGGCUUCGGCAAUUCAGUGGGUGGAUACAUUGAUAACAAGCUGGUUGUUUCCUUGGUGAUUUGGGACAAAAGAGGCAUAUCUGUCGAGAUGGGGUUUUUUAAAUAAAAUUCAGACUAUUCACAUCCAAGUAAUCACACAUAUUUCCACAACAGUAGCCUCUUAUUUUCCACUUUCGAAAUACAGUACUGCACUAAGCUGUUUCUAUUUGGCAGGGAAAUGUGCCAAUCUCGCUUUCUCCUUCAAGUUAACAGGAUAGUCUGAUUUUCGCAGGAAGGGAAGGCCUCAAUGCAAAUUCUCAUUUUCUCUGUAUAACAUUUAUGCAAUAAAGAAUGAGUUUUCAUUUCUGUAUAGCUGGGAAUUGUAAUGCAUUAAAUGCAGGUGAGAGCGUUAAUCUCUCAAGCUGCUAAGAAAUGAAAUGUCACAUGGAGCAACUUGUUCUCUGCUGCUGCUUUUUCUGUUAAGAAUUUUAUUCCCAAUAAAAUUCUGCCCUCACAAGGCAUCACAGCACUUCUGAGUGUGCCAGACUGCAGCACAUCUUCUGGCAUCCAUGCUUGGGGAUUUAGAUAUUACAAUUGCAAAUGUACAUCAUUCUGUAUUACUUCUCUCACUUUUUAAAUCCAUCCGUUCAUAUAUUAUCACUGCAACCUGAAAUUUCUAUAUUUCACCAUAUAAAAUUCUAGUCAGAAGCAAUUCUAGAUAAGAGAUUCGGAAGUUGUGGGGAGACAACUCCCCUUCAAAUGGCCUGUUGCCCCAGGCACCUGUUGUUUAUCCAGAAUUUUCUGUUCCCUCUGAAGCUUGUAGUGUACAGGCCAAGGAGCAUUACUUACAUCUGCCGCCAAAUCUCUCCCACCCCAAAAAAACCCUUUGCAUUUGAAAAAGAAAUGAAACACAUUGAAAUAGGUUUUGCACAACCUGGAUGGUUUGGGUAAUAGCACUCUUCAUAGGUAAAGGUAAAGGGACCCCUGACCAUCAGGUCCAGUCAAGGCUGACUCUGGGGUUGCGGCGCUCAUCUCGCUUUAUUGGCCGAGGGAGCCAGCGUACAGCUUCCGGGUCAUGUGGCCAGCAUGACUAAGCCACUUCUGGCAAACCAGAGCAGCGCAUGGAAACGUCGUCUACCUUCCCGCCGGAGCAGUACCUAUUUAUCUACUUGCACUUUGACGUGCUUUCGAACUGCUAGGUUGGCAGGAGCAGGGACCGAGCAACGGGAGCUCACCCUGUCGCGGGGAUUCGAACUGCCGACCUUCUGAUCGGCAAGUCCUAGGCUCUGUGCUUUAACCCACAGCACCACCUGCAUCCCUCAGCACUCUUCAUAUGGAGGGUCAAAAGGGUCUAGAAACCAAACCUUAUAAGGAACGGUUGAGGGAGCUGGGUAUGAUGUUUAGACUGGAAAAGAGGAGACUGAGAGAAGACAUGAUCACCAUCUUCAAAUAUCUAGAGAGCUUCCACAUGGAAGAUGGAGCAAGGCUGUUUUCUCCUGCUCCAGAGGGUUGGGUCCCGAAACAAUGGCUUCAAGUUACAAGAAGGGAGAUUCCGACUAUAUAUGAGGAAGCACUUUCUGACAAUAAAAGUUGUCCAACAGUGGAACAGACUCCCUUGGGAGGUGAUGGACUCUCCUUCCUUGGAGGUUUUUAAGCAGAGGUUGAAUGGCCAUCUGUUAUGGAUACUUGAUAUUCCUCCACUGCAGGGAGUUAGACUAGAUGACCCUUGGGAUCCCUUAUUAUAACUUGACUUGUAUCCAAAGUAGCAAGAAGGCUCUUUUUCCAUUAGUGCAAGGAUUUUACCCUUGAACAGUGGAAAUUCCCCUCCUCUGCUCCCACCAUGCUUCUCCUAAAUCUGUUCAGGGGAUUCCCCCACACCGCCAGAGGAGAUCCAGAGAGGGCAUGACACAUGCACAGAGCAAGGAGAAGGGAAGAAAGUUCCAUUGCACAAGCAUAAAUCCUUGACCCAACAGAACCAGGAUACCAGCUCAAAAGACUAAAUAGAAAAUGUUUCUCUAAGUCAGGCUUCCUUAAGCUCGGACCUCCAGAUGUUUUUGGCCUACAACUCCCAUGAUCUCUAGCUAGCAGGACCAGUGGUCAGGGAUGAUGGGAAUUGUAGUCUCAAAACUUCUGGAGGACUGAGUUUGAGGAGGCCUGCUCUAAGUUCUCAAAGGCACUUCGACAUCCCACGGAAAUGCAUUGGCUAUAUGAACUGUGCAUCGUGUGCUAAGACUGUGCUUUAGCACUCAAUAAACUUUUUAAGUAGGAGCUGUGUUGUCCUGAAUAUUUUUCCCAACAGGAAAGCAAAAAAAUCUUGCCGCAACAAACCAAAACAUGUUCCCAUCUGAGGAGAACAGAAAGAUUUCAGGUGGACAACAAGGGCUGCUUUGGGUGUUGGUGGAAGAGAGACACUUUCGGGCCAAGCUUUAUGACAGAACAAAAGGGAUGCUGGGAAAAGCUGCUGCACUGCAGUCUUAUCAAGCGCAGGGUUAUAAACCUUGCUCAUUCAGGAUGCUGCCUGAGAAAAACCUAAGUAAAGAUCUCCCGUAUCAUAAUAAAGCAGAAAACAAAUGAAAGCUAGAUACACUUCAGUGCUCUUCUCUCUGCUUUCUCCUUGAGGCAAGAAUCUUUUGUUCCUCUUCCGAC
Non-coding RNA from Podarcis lilfordi (Lilford's wall lizard), 2650 nucleotides. Lineage: Eukaryota; Metazoa; Chordata; Lepidosauria; Squamata; Lacertidae. The record is from the annotation of a GenBank genome assembly.